Sapajus apella (tufted capuchin) is the source of this 379-nucleotide long non-coding RNA. RefSeq lists it as uncharacterized. The record is from RefSeq and is a predicted model, not a curated record. NCBI's taxonomy places the organism in Eukaryota, Metazoa, Chordata, Mammalia, Primates, Cebidae. The transcript is spliced from 2 exons.
AUGGUGUGAGGGGAGGCGUUCCAGAUCUCCUGACACAAAGGGCUGCCCACCUCCCUGGUCGUUCACCCGAAGCUUCAGGAGGCAGACACACACAUUAGCCAGCCCCUCUCUCCAGGGCAAGGGGAGCGGGACAAAAAGCAAUUUCGAGAUUUGUACCAUGCUGGCCAGGUCCUUCAAGAAUGACUACAUUGUCACCACAAUGGUAACAACGGGGAAUCCGCCGCCCACUGCUCUUGCACAGCAGGUAAUGCUGGAAUACAGAUGACUGGAGGGACACCCAGAGCUGCCCGGGCAGUUCCCGGUGGCUGGUUCCUUUGCACUUUGCACUGACAAUAAAAACGCCCUCCCUCCCACGGCCCCCUGGGCCCUCCCAUCUCUC